AUGCAGUGGAUGAACUUGCCAUCUCCGACGUCUGACCGAGCUCUAACCACUCUAAUUACCACACUUUGGCCCCCUUCAAUGGCUGUUGGAACAAAUUGUUCUCAUCUACCCAUUCUGUCCAGGGAAGUCAUCACAUUCUUGGGGGCCAAAAUGGCAGAGCAGUUGAAUGAGAAGGGGAAAUACAACACCCUGGAGAAGAUCUGGGAGCAUCAUCACAGCUGCUACACCUGGAUCAUACUGUGCAACAAAACCUACAGUUGGACGAAAUUUCUGAAAGGCCAUUCUGGAAAAGUGAUGAGGGUACAAGAUGGAGAGAUGAUACCCCCAGAAAUGGGGAGAAUACUAGGCUUUCUACAGAUGCCUGAGAACUACCCAAGAUAUAUAUUUUCUAGACAAAGCACUCUGAUGGAGACUCUACUCUCUACUCUCUGUGAUCUGGUCUAUUUGGACAUGAACUGGUAGAAAGAAUCCUGGAAUUAAAGGAAAGGAAAAAAUGGCAGAAACCCUAAGGUGCUUCUCUCCUGAUUACUGACGUCAUCAGCAUCAUUAAGCCCCUCACAAAGUCCUGCUCCUACCCAGUGCAAGCUCCGGCAGGUUCUGCCAUGUAUGAGUAUGGUCCUGACAACAGAUUGUGUCAAGCCUAACUGAGCAUGGGAAGACUCAUCGCCAUUGGCUGGCCACAUGGUGAUGAAUUCUUUGGCCAUGGCAACCUGUGAAACAAAGGCAAAUACAAAAGGUACAGCAGAGCUUUGCAAUUCCUGGCUGCUCGUGCAGUCAUGGCAGCAACAUGACUGGAAAGGGACAGAGCACUCCAAGACCCAAGAUUUUAGACAGUUUACAGACACUGGCGUAGCUAUUAGAACUGUAAAUGUGAGAUUCUUCUCCAAGGACCAAUGAACAAAAUAACUCCUGGAGAAAGUGAAUUGUAUUCAUUCGGACAUUUUUGCUAUAAACAAAGCCAAAAUCUAGAUGGAAAUAUGAAUAAAUAAAAAAACAUUUUAAGCA
Molecule: long non-coding RNA, 1005 nt
Filed under: Monodelphis domestica (gray short-tailed opossum)
Lineage: Eukaryota; Metazoa; Chordata; Mammalia; Didelphimorphia; Didelphidae
Description: lncRNA (ENSMODG00000047658.1)
Source: RNAcentral